UAGGGAAUAUUGGGCAAUGGGCGGAAGCCUGACCCAGCCAUGCCGCGUGUGCGAUGAAGGCUUUCGGGUCGUAAAGCACUUUUAUUCGGGAAGACACGCACUGUGCGCAGUGCUAUGACGGUACCGAAGGAAUAAGCACCGGCUAACUCCGUGCCAGCAGCCGCGGUAAUACGGAGGGUGCAAGCGUUGUCCGGAUUCAUUGGGUUUAAAGGGUGCGUAGGCGGCCUGAUAAGUCAGGGGUGAAAUACCGCGGCUCAACCGCGGGGCUGCCCCUGAUACUGCCAGGCUUGGCUGCCGGAAGGGCAUGCGGAAUUUGCGGUGUAGCGGUGAAAUGCAUAGAUACCGCAAGGAACGCCAGAGGCGAAGGCGGCGUGCUAGCCGGCCAGCGACGCUGAUGCACGAAAGCGCGGGUAGCGAACAGG
RNAcentral lists this ribosomal RNA (422 nucleotides) under uncultured bacterium. RNAcentral describes it as "bacterial SSU rRNA". It matches the Rfam family "Bacterial small subunit ribosomal RNA", at positions 355 to 776 of the family's 1533-position model. The record is from RNAcentral.